AAGAUUGAUCGAGUGAAAGCACUUUGGAGAAUUAAAAAGUACGUGAAACAGAAUGAAAGGGAAGCGCUUGCAACCAGACUUGUCCGCAGUUGCUCAGCCGGUCUCCUGACCGGCGUACUCUUCUGCGGCCAGGCCAGCAUCAGUUCGGGCGGUCGGAUAAAGGCCUCGGGAAUGUAGCUCCUCUCGGGGAGUGUUAUAGCCCGGGGUGGAAUGCGACCAGCCUGGACUGAGGAUCUCGCUUCGGCAAGGAUGCUGGCGUAAUGGUUGUAAGCGGCCCGUCUUGAAACACGGACCAAGA
This 298-nucleotide ribosomal RNA is filed under the name Lasiodiplodia pseudotheobromae. RNAcentral describes it as "partial 28S ribosomal RNA". It matches the Rfam family "Eukaryotic large subunit ribosomal RNA", at positions 349 to 671 of the family's 3401-position model. Lineage: Eukaryota; Fungi; Ascomycota; Dothideomycetes; Botryosphaeriales; Botryosphaeriaceae. The record is from RNAcentral.